GCCGCGGUAAUUCCAGCUCCAAUAGCGUAUAUUAAAGUUGUUGCAGUUAGAACGCUCGUAGUCGGAUUUCGGGGCAGUCCGACCGGUCUGCCGAUGGGUAUGCACUGGCCGGAGUGUCCUUUUUGCCGGAGACCGUGCCUACUCUUAACUGAGCGGGGGCGGGAGACGGCACUUUUACUUUGAAAAAAUCAGAGUGUUUCAAGCAGGCAGCUCGCUCUUGCAUGGAUUAGCAUGGGAUAAUGAAAUAGGACUUUGGUGCUAUUUUGUUGGUUUCGAACACCGAAGUAAUGAUGAGAAGGGACAGUCAGGGGCACUCGUAUUCCGCAGAGAGAGGUGAAAUUCUCAGACCCGCGGAAGACGAACCACUGCGAAAGCAUUUGCCAGGGAUGUUUUCACUGAUCAAGAAUGAAAGUUAGGGGAUCGAAGAUGAUCAGAUACCGUCGUAGUCUUAACCAUAAACCAUGCCGACUAGGGAUUGGAGGAUGUUCACUGAUUGACUCCUUCAGCACCUUACGGGAAACUAAAGUCUUUGGGUUCCGGGGGGAGUAUGGUCGCAAGGCUGAAACUUAAAGGAAUUGACGGAAGGGCACCACCAGGUGUGGAGCCUGCGGCUUAAUUUGACUCAACACGGGGAAACUUACCAGGUCCAGACAUUGUGAGGAUUGACAGAUUGAGAGCUCUUUCUUGAUUCGAUGGGUGGUGGUGCAUGGCCGUUCUUAGUUGGUGGAGCGAUUUGUCUGGUUAAUUCCGUUAACGAACGAGACCUUAGCCUGCUAAAUAGUGACGCGAACUCUUUGUUGGCGGGCCACUUCUUAGAGGGACAACUUGUCUUCAACAAGUGGAAGUUUGAGGCAAUAACAGGUCUGUGAUGCCAAAGCGAAGUCGCGCGCUAAUCCAUUCGGCCUAUAUG
Molecule: ribosomal RNA, 910 nt
Filed under: uncultured eukaryote
Lineage: Eukaryota
Description: SSU rRNA
Rfam family: Eukaryotic small subunit ribosomal RNA
Source: RNAcentral